Molecule: long non-coding RNA, 150 nt
Organism: Diprion similis
Lineage: Eukaryota; Metazoa; Arthropoda; Insecta; Hymenoptera; Diprionidae
Exons: 3
Source: RefSeq, a predicted model, not a curated record
AUAUUGCUGCUGCUGUUCCUGUGCAAGUGUGUAGUUCUCGAUAAAAAAAAAAGACAUACGCGCAGCGUAAUUGGUCGUGACCGGAAUUGCAUAGGUGAACCAAUUUGACUUUCAAUCUGACGACAAAACCGAAACACAAUUUUUAUUUUC